UACGUAGGUGGCGAGCGUUGUCCGGAAUUACUGGGUGUAAAGCGCGUGUAGGCGGGAGGCCAAGUCUGUGGUGAAAUCGCUCGGCUUAACUGGGCGGGGUCCAUGGAAACUGGUCACCUGGAGGUCGGUAGAGGCAAGUGGAAUUCCCGGUGUAGUGGUGAAAUGCGUAGAGAUCGGGAGGAACACCAGUGGCGAAGGCGGCUUGCUGGGCCGGACCUGACGCUGAGACGGCGAAAGGCG
This 240-nucleotide ribosomal RNA is filed under the name uncultured bacterium. Its description in RNAcentral is "partial 16S ribosomal RNA". It matches the Rfam family "Bacterial small subunit ribosomal RNA", at positions 524 to 762 of the family's 1533-position model. The record is from RNAcentral.